Molecule: ribosomal RNA, 954 nt
Filed under: uncultured bacterium
Lineage: Bacteria
Description: bacterial SSU rRNA
Rfam family: Bacterial small subunit ribosomal RNA
Source: RNAcentral
AGAGUUUGAUCAUGGCUCAGAAUCAACGCUGGCGGCGCGCUUAACACAUGCAAGUCGAACGAGAAAGCCCGCAAGGGUGAGUAAAGUGGCGUACGGGUGAGUAACACGUGGAUCAUCUGCCCUUUGGUGGGGAAUAACUCUGGGAAACCGGAGCUAAUACCGCAUAAGUCCGAGAGGAGAACGCAGCAAUGCGCCGAAGGAGGAGUCCGCGGCUGAUUAGCUAGUUGGUGAGGUAAUGGCUCACCAAGGCGACGAUCGGUAGCCGGCCUGAGAGGGCACACGGCCACACUGGCACUGAGACACGGGCCAGACUCCUACGGGAGGCAGCAGUGGGGAAUCUUGCACAAUGGGGGAAACCCUGAUGCAGCGACGCCGCGUGAGUGAUGAAGCCCUUCGGGGUGUAAAGCUCUUUCGACGGGAACGAUUAUGACGGUACCCGGAGAAGAAGCUGCGGCUAACUACGUGCCAGCAGCCGCGGUAAUACGUAGGCAGCAAGCGUUGUUCGGAAUUACUGGGCGUAAAGAGUACGUAGGUGGUUUGCUAAGUCCGAUGUGAAAUCUCCUGGCUUAACUGGGAGGGUGCGUUAGAUACUGGCAGGCUUGAGUGUGGGAGAGGAGAGCGGAAUUCCUGGUGUAGCGGUGAAAUGCGUAGAUAUCAGGAGGAACGCCUGUGGUGUAGACGGCUCUCUGGACCAUUACUGACACUGAGGUACGAAAGCGUGGGUAGCAAACAGGAUUAGAUACCCUGGUAGUCCACGCCCUAAACGAUGCACACUUGGUGUGGGCAGUUCAGUCUGUCCGUGCCGGAGCUAACGCGUUAAGUGUGCCGCCUGGGGAGUACGGUCGCAAGGCUGAACUCAAGGAAUUGACGGGGGCCCGCACAAGCGGUGGAGCAUGUGGUUUAAUUCGACGCAACGCGAAGAACCUUACCUGGGCUCGAACGGCUUUGGAUAGU